RNAcentral lists this ribosomal RNA (497 nucleotides) under uncultured bacterium. RNAcentral describes it as "partial 16S ribosomal RNA". It matches the Rfam family "Bacterial small subunit ribosomal RNA", at positions 28 to 507 of the family's 1533-position model. The record is from RNAcentral.
GAUGAACGCUGGCGGCGUGCCUAAUACAUGCAAGUCGAGCGAACAGACGAUGAGCUUGCUCCUCUGACGUGAGCGGCGGACGGGUGAGUAACACGUGUAUACCCUACCUAUAAGACUGGGAUAACUUCGGGAAACCGGAUCUAAUACCGGAUAAUAUAUUGAACCGCGGGGUUCAAUGGUGAAAGACGGUGUUGCUGGCACUUAUAGAUGGAUCCGCGCCGCUUGAGAUAGUUGGUAAGGUAACGGCUUACCAAGGCGAGGAUGCGUGGGCGAACUGAGAGGGUGAUAGGCGACACUGGAACUGAGACACGGUCCAGACUCCUAAGGGAGGCAGCAGUAGGGAAUGUGCCGCAACGGGCGAAAGCAUGACGGAGCAACGCCACGUGAGUGAUGAAGGUCUUCGGAUCGUAAAAAUCGGUUACUAGGGAAGAACAACUGUGUAAGUAACUAUGCACGUCUUGACGGUAAUUAAUAAGAAAGCACCGGCUAACUACGUG